RNAcentral lists this ribosomal RNA (358 nucleotides) under Candidatus Bathyarchaeota archaeon. RNAcentral's name for it is "bacterial SSU rRNA". It matches the Rfam family "Archaeal small subunit ribosomal RNA", at positions 1122 to 1478 of the family's 1478-position model. The record is from RNAcentral. Lineage: Archaea; Thermoproteati; Candidatus Bathyarchaeota.
GAGGAAGGAGCGGGCCACGGCAGGUCAGUAUGCCCCGGAUCCCCUGGGCCACACGCGAGCUGCAAUGGCUGGGACAAUGGGCUCCGACCCCGAAAGGGGAAGGCAAUCCCUAAACCCAGCCUCAGUUGGGAUCGAGGGCUGCAACCCGCCCUCGUGAACAUGGAAUCCCUAGUAACCGCGUGUCAUCAUCGCGCGGUGAAUACGUCCCUGCUCCUUGCACACACCGCCCGUCGCUCCACCCGAGUCUGGUUUUGGUGAGGUGCAGCCCUGUUGGUUGCCUCGAACCUAAGCUAAGCAAGGGGGGAGAAGUCGUAACAAGGUGGCCGUAGGGGAACCUGCGGCCGGAUCACCUCCUUAG